AAGGCUUCAGCACGACCCAGUCAGAACUAUAAGUCUCAAAGCCCCGACGAGUAGGGUGGCGUGCCGGUGCGCGUUGAAGGCCAAGACGUGAGUCAGGCUGGAGCCGCCGGUAGUGCAGAUCUUGGUGGUAGUAGCAAGUACUCUGGUGAACCAACCUGGAGCUGUGAGGUCUGGAUCAGGGUUCCAUGUCAACAGUGAUUGAACAUGGGUGAGUCGAUCCUAAGCCAACUGUGAAAGCAGUGACAUCCCGACAAAGGGGCAUAUUACUUGCACCCCCAAGCAUUGCAAUGUGAAGCUCUCAAGUAUAUACAUCUCUCUCUCUCGCGAGCGCAUACACGGGGCCUCGCAAAGCAUCUGGUUACGGAAAGGAAAUGAUAAAAUGCACACACAUACAAUGAUCAAUAAAAAUGUGAGUGUGUGUGUGUGCGUAUAAGCUUGUCUGUCUGGUUACGCUCAUAUGAAUAUAUAUGCAUUGAUAUGCUGUCUGUCAAAGGUAAAGAGAGAGAGAGAGAGAGAGAGAGUGGGUGAGCGCGAGUGUUUUCCCUGCGUUGGUUCUAUGUCUGGCGAAAGGGAAUGGGGACUUUGUUCCUUGACCGGUCCCGGCACCCUCGAUUGGCUUUGCCAAUUAAUGGUCCAUGCAAAUGGAACCAGGCCACAGCCGCCGGCAGUCGCCCGAGGAAGAGUUUUCUUUUCUGCUUAACGCGCGAGGUCAUCCCUGGAAACAGUUCGGCUUGCGAAAGGGUGCCCCGUUGCGGCAGAGCGCCACGACUGUCGUGCGCGUCUCGGUGUUCCUGCCGGUCCGUGAAGACGUGGUCGAGGGGAUUGCUCUUGUAUCAACGAAACGCCCGACGAGUUCGGGACGGACCGUACCCUAUAUCCGCAUCUGGUCUCCAAGGUUCGUAGCCUCUGCAGAGUCUGACACAUGUAGGUAAGGGAAGUCGGCAAACUCGAUCCGUAACUUCGGAAAAAGGAUUGGCUCUGAGGGCCGAGCUGGGCCGGGCCUUGCCUGCAAAGCAGUACCUAUAGUGACCGGAGUUUCAGGAGUGCGAGGGGCUCUAGUAGCUGCUUGUGCGUUCGCGUGUGGGCACGAACGAGUCCACCGCUCCGCUCCAACUACGAACGGCUGUGACGGCAAGGGCUCUGGGCGGGAGCGAUCGAUCCGUUGGCCUCCAGCGCGUCUGGUUGGCGGCGGUGCUCCCUCUGUCCCAUACGGCUCCAGCGGCUAGCGGCUAACUCAGAACUGUCAUGGACCAAGGGAAUCCGACUGUCUAAUUAAAACAAAGCGUCGUGACGGCCCCUGUUGGGUGUUGACGCGACGUGAUUUC
This 1325-nucleotide ribosomal RNA is filed under the name Niphargus gammariformis. RNAcentral describes it as "partial large subunit ribosomal RNA". It matches the Rfam family "Eukaryotic large subunit ribosomal RNA", at positions 1337 to 2198 of the family's 3401-position model. The record is from RNAcentral. Lineage: Eukaryota; Metazoa; Arthropoda; Malacostraca; Amphipoda; Niphargidae.